Long non-coding RNA from Homo sapiens (human), 1148 nucleotides. RefSeq lists it as uncharacterized. The transcript is spliced from 2 exons. The record is from RefSeq and is a predicted model, not a curated record. Lineage: Eukaryota; Metazoa; Chordata; Mammalia; Primates; Hominidae.
AUUUGCAGGAAAAGUAGCCCACUGGCUGAAACAGUGUUCAGCAGCAGAGGAUCUGGUUAUGGUUCCCCACUCCCCCAACAGUUUAUCAUGAUGUCAGUUUUGGAGCCGGUGAGGCCAGGUUGAAUCCAAGGACGUGGAUGUGUGGACCUGGUUCUUCUGCUUUCUUGUGGCAUACAUGGCUCUUCUUCUGUUACAUGGGGACAAAAUUACAUGCUGCUCCAGGCAGUUAAAUGAGAAAAAAAUGCCUGGCCAAGAACCUAACAUUGGGGAUGAUCAAUACCUGUCAGUUUUCUGUUUGAGUCUUGGUUUCCUCACCUGUAAAUAGAGAUGUUCUGCAUAUUUACCAGUGCAUCACAAAGCUUCCACUUUUUGUAUUGCGUCUUGGGACACGAGAAGACUCUGGUGAUGCUCCUAGUGAUGCUCGCUACCUUCUGCCUGGAUGCAGCUUAGCCAGGAAGCAAUUCAAUCUCCGAUCACUUACCCCAGAGUGAGAAAAACAUCUGAAAUUUAUAGGACGUCUUUUGAAAUGACCCUCCCCUCCUCUCCUGCACUGGGUGAGUUUCUAAACAUCCUCUUCCCUUUUAAACAUUUCCGUCUUUAUACUGUAUGCCCUGUACUGCUCCUUUGUGGAAGGAAUAUGGCUAAAAGACAGCAUGUUUUUCCAGCAGGUUUGCAUCAGGUGGGGCUGUUCUUAUCACUGGAAAUAAAUUGGCCAAUCCUAUUGGGUGGGAUUUGUGUUAAUAUGAGCCCCACCAGAUGGAUGAAGCAGAUUUGUUUAUCCCAAGCAGAGGACGAUUGCUCUUCUCUCUUUUUUAACUGGAUUUGGCCUUGUGCUCUUAUAAGCCAGAGGGGCACAUUAAUCCAUAAUACUCUAAUCUCACAGCCCUGUUUUAAGCCUAGAAAGUCUAUGUAUUUGUGAUUUUGUUUCAUUUCAAGUAACAAGAUCAUGAAUAAAAACAACAAGCAUAGCCCUUCUGUUCUGGAGGGUGGCUGACAUAUCACAUCUCUGGGAGACUCCUGGCAGCUGUGCUCUGUCUUUUUGGUGAAUUCACAGACUCCUUCCUCAGGACAAAUAUUUUGGAGCACAGUUAAAUGGAUGCAUCUGUAAUCAAUUGCUUGUCAUAUUAAAGAUUUUAUUGUUGAAACAA